GAUGAACGCUGGCGGCGUGCCUAAUACAUGCAAGUCGAGCGAACAGACGAGGAGCUUGCUCCUCUGACGUUAGCGGCGGACGGGUGAGUAACACGUGGAUAACCUACCUAUAAGACUGGGAUAACUUCGGGAAACCGGAGCUAAUACCGGAUAAUAUAUUGAACCGCAUGGUUCAAUAGUGAAAGACGGUUUUGCUGUCACUUAUAGAUGGAUCCGCGCCGCAUUAGCUAGUUGGUAAGGUAACGGCUUAUCAAGGCAACGAUGCGUAGCCGACCUGAGAGAGUGAUCGGCCACACUGGAACUGAGACACGGUCCAGACUCCUACGGGAGGCAGCAGUAGGGAAUCUUCCGCAAUGGGCGAAAGCCUGACGGAGCAACGCCGCGUGAGUGAUGAAGGUCUUCGGAUCGUAAAACUCUGUUAUUAGGGAAGAACAAAUGUGUAAGUAACUAUGCACGGCUUGACGGUACCUAAUCAGAAAGCCACGGCUAACUACGUG
This 497-nucleotide ribosomal RNA is filed under the name uncultured bacterium. RNAcentral describes it as "partial 16S ribosomal RNA". It matches the Rfam family "Bacterial small subunit ribosomal RNA", at positions 28 to 507 of the family's 1533-position model. The record is from RNAcentral.